GCCAGGUGUGGUGGUACACACCUGUAAUCCCAGCUACUCAGGAGGCUGAGGCAGGAGAAUCACUUGAACCCAGGAGGCUGAGGUUGCAGUGAGCAGAGAUCACGCCACUACACUCCAGCCUGGGUGACAGAGUGAGACCGUGUCUCAA
This 148-nucleotide non-coding RNA is filed under the name Pan paniscus (pygmy chimpanzee). The record is from Rfam by way of RNAcentral. Lineage: Eukaryota; Metazoa; Chordata; Mammalia; Primates; Hominidae. RNAcentral also lists the same sequence under 1 other name.